RNAcentral lists this long non-coding RNA (711 nucleotides) under Prunus persica (peach). RNAcentral describes it as "long non-coding RNA (PPER_LNC005744)". Lineage: Eukaryota; Viridiplantae; Streptophyta; Magnoliopsida; Rosales; Rosaceae. The record is from RNAcentral.
UUUUUCCGGUUUGGUUCGGUGCGGUUUGGUUUGGAUUUCCGGUUCGCCGGUUUGAGUGCCCACCCCUACUACCAGGCCCUCAAUUGAUAAAUAAUCGUUCUCAGGUUCCUAGAGGAUCCUCUUUGUAAUUUCUUUUAAUGUUAAAAAAACAGGGUGAUAUUAUUUGUACUACAGUUAUUGACUACAAAUUGCUGACCACAUGUCUAAUACAAAGGGGACCCACAUACAUUGGAAUGUGGUAUAAACAACAUUAUUAAAAAAAAAAAGAAAGAGAUAAAUAAAUCAUCAUCUUCACCUAAAUAUAUACAAUAAUUGCAAGCAAGACAAUUAUUACAUGCAAGACAUAAAAGUGAAGCCUCAAGAGUCAAGACCUUAAAAAAUAGAACAUCAAAAGAAUAAUCUAGUGGAUAUGCCAAAAAUUUUACUCAAAAAAGAAACUUCCAAGUCUCGUUUUCUUGCGUGUGGAUGGUUAUGGGGCUGUAAUGCAGUAAUGGAAUUAAUAUUUACUCUUUGUGGUUGUCUUAGCGUGGUUGUACUUGAUUCUUUGGCAAAAGAAUAGAAUCUUAUUCUUUUUCUGCUUUAUUAGGUAAAUUUCUUCAAGUCUCGUUGUCUCUUUUCACUACCAUGGCAUAGCUGGUAGCAUUCCCACAUUUUUUUAGAAUUUACAAUUGUAAUCAUAUGGUAGGUUAACACAUUCUUUAUCUAUAUCGG